AGAGGGACGAGCUCGCAUAUGUCUGGGUUUGAGUUCUUCCCACUACUAGAGUCUGAGGCAAUCUUAUGCCUAUUUUGUUUGACAUGAACUGGCAUUGUAGUGAACUGGACAGUGCAUUCUACUAAGCUGAUAGAGUCAAUUCCAUAAGGAUACGAAUAGCUAAAAUGGAUGGUGAAUGCCGUAGGCAUGGAUAAUUUGUUAGUAUAAAUUUGAUGUUGCAGAAUUUCAAUAUGAUAUUUUCUUAUUGAUUGAUGCUAGGUGGGGGAUUAUGUUAAUUUUAAGAGCAUAGCCAACCCAACAGAUGUUGUAGGCAAAGGGCCGAUCGCUAGUACGGAUCCUUCUACAGAGGUUGGUGGAGAAGAACUUGGAGCUAAUUGGUGUGAGAUUUAUGUUCAAGUCCCAAUCAGAUGGGAUGAGCAUUUGAUGAGGCCAUACGAAGGCCUUAAGACCGUUGGCGAUACCAUCGGUACUCCAAUAGCAUGACCUAUUUCAUUGGUAGUGAAAGAUGAUGAUAGUUGCUUUAUGGACUAAAUGAGAUCACUUGGAAGAUUCCUAGUAGAUAGAGUUAUGGCAUAUGGAUACUGAACUUAUAAGUUUUGUUUUGUUUUUUACUAGUGGUUGUUUUUUUGAUACCAUGGCAUCUCUCAUGGUAUUCUUCUAGUUUUUUGCUGGAAACUUUAGUAAGUUUCUUAGAAGUGAAGUUUGUUUUCUAGUGGAAGCGUUAGUUUCUUAAAACUGUUUCUGUUUCAUGUUUCGAUUUUUGAAUUUGGAUCCUUGUGAGUUUGUUGACUAGUAGUUUCUAUAGAAGUUAA
Long non-coding RNA from Rhododendron vialii, 812 nucleotides. RefSeq lists it as uncharacterized. The transcript is spliced from 2 exons. The record is from RefSeq and is a predicted model, not a curated record. NCBI's taxonomy places the organism in Eukaryota, Viridiplantae, Streptophyta, Magnoliopsida, Ericales, Ericaceae.